RNAcentral lists this long non-coding RNA (243 nucleotides) under Castor canadensis (American beaver). RNAcentral describes it as "Hydatidiform mole associated and imprinted conserved region 1 (ENSCCNG00000028277.1)". It matches the Rfam family "Hydatidiform mole associated and imprinted conserved region 1". Lineage: Eukaryota; Metazoa; Chordata; Mammalia; Rodentia; Castoridae. The record is from RNAcentral.
CUUACCAUGUGCUAAGUAAGCAACCAGGUUCCGAGCGCGAGGCUGAUGGGCUAACGCGCAGGAAAGGAAGAGUGCGGGGAGCACUUCGGGGACCAGGACCUCAGUGAGGUGCCCGAAAGCUCACAGGAGGGGUCUCCGAUCCUGCCUGGAAAGGUGGGGUUAGAGGAGAAUUCCUGGAAGAAGGAGAACCUAAGUUGGGUGUUGGUACUGUUAAUUUUUAUUGGUUUCCUAAAUCAUAAAAGU